Molecule: ribosomal RNA, 460 nt
Filed under: uncultured bacterium
Lineage: Bacteria
Description: partial 16S ribosomal RNA
Rfam family: Bacterial small subunit ribosomal RNA
Source: RNAcentral
CCUACGGGAGGCAGCAGUGAGGAAUAUUGGUCAAUGGCCGGAAGGCUGAACCAGCCAAGUAGCGUGAAGGAUGACUGCCCUAUGGGUUGUAAACUUCUUUUAUAAAGGGAUAAAGUUAGGCACGUGUGCCUGUUUGUAUGUACUUUAUGAAUAAGGAUCGGCUAACUCCGUGCCAGCAGCCGCGGUAAUACGGAGGAUCCGAGUGUUAUCCGGAUUUAUUGGGUUUAAAGGGAGCGUAGGUGGGUUGUUAAGUGAGUUGUGAAAGUUUGUGGCUCAACCGUCAAAGUGCGAUUGAUACUGGCUGCCUUGAGUACAGGUGAGGUAGGCGGAAUUCGUGGUGUAGCGGUGAAAUGCUUAGAUAUCACGAAGAACUCCGAUUGCGAAGGCAGCCUACCAAACUGCUACUGACGCUGAGGCUCGAAAGCGUGGGUAUCGAACAGGAUUAGAUACCCUUGUAGUC